Molecule: long non-coding RNA, 1002 nt
Filed under: Falco tinnunculus (common kestrel)
Lineage: Eukaryota; Metazoa; Chordata; Aves; Falconiformes; Falconidae
Description: lncRNA (ENSFTIG00000009756.1)
Source: RNAcentral
AUGGGGGAUGCAGGAGAGGGUAGAGGGUUGAUAGAGCUAUGGGGGGUCCCAGCCCCAUGGCAGGUACAGGAGGGGUCGUGCAGAGUCCCAGCCCCAUGGGGGAUGAAGGAAGGGUCCCAGCCACAUGGGGGGGAUGCAGGAGGGGUCCCAGCCCCAGGGGGGGUACAGGAGGGGCCAUGCAGGGUCCCAGCUCAACAGGGGGUGACGGAGCCACACAGGGUCCCAGCCCCGCAGGGGGAAUGCAGGAGGGGUCCCAGCCCCAUGGGGGUCACAGGAGGGGUGGGCGCUGCCGCCCCUCACCUUUCUUGGGCAGCCCGCGGCCCUUGCCCAUGCGGGACCUGCGGUCAUGCGCCCGGCCCUUGGGGCUGCCAGGCUCGGUGCCGGGCUCGGUGCCCUCGGAGAGCGACUCACGGGCUGAGUCCCGGGAUGAGGUUCGCCGCAGCCGCCGCUUGGCCUUGGCCUUCAGCCGAGCCUCGUGCAGCAGCUUCUCCUGGGGGGUCCAGGUGCGAGGACCCCCAGCCCCCAGCAGCUCCUCAUCCCUGUCCUCCUCCUCCUCCGCAGCUGCCAGGCAGGGGCCCUGCACACCGUGGGCACUGUCACCGUGCACUGGGACACCAUGGCACACUGGGACACCCCAAGAGACCCCUACUGUGCACCCCCUGGCCUCUCCUGGGACCGCUGCCAUACACCCCCAGGCCUCCUCUGGGACCACCACCAUGCAGCCGCCAGCCUCUUCUAGGACCCCCACAGACCCCCAGCCUCCUCCUGGGACCUCCAUGGGACCCCCACCAUGCAUCUGUCAGCCUUUCCUUGGACCCCCACGGACUCUUGGACUCUCCUAUGACCCCUAUAUACCCCGAGUCUCCCCCCAGGAACCCCACCGUGCACCCCUCAGCCUCCCCUGGGACCCCCACUGUGCACCCCCUAGCCUCUUCUAGGACCCCCAUGGACCCCCAGCACCCCCAUGGGGCCCCCACCAUGCAUCCGUCAGCCUUUUCCUAG